RNAcentral lists this ribosomal RNA (271 nucleotides) under uncultured bacterium. Its description in RNAcentral is "partial 16S ribosomal RNA". It matches the Rfam family "Bacterial small subunit ribosomal RNA", at positions 524 to 794 of the family's 1533-position model. The record is from RNAcentral.
UGCGAAGGGGGCUAGCGUUGCUCGGAAUCACUGGGCGUAAAGGGCGCGUAGGCGGCGUUUUAAGUCGGGGGUGAAAGCCUGUGGCUCAACCACAGAAUGGCCUUCGAUACUGGGACGCUUGAGUAUGGUAGAGGUUGGUGGAACUGCGAGUGUAGAGGUGAAAUUCGUAGAUAUUCGCAAGAACACCGGUGGCGAAGGCGGCCAACUGGACCAUUACUGACGCUGAGGCGCGAAAGCGUGGGGAGCAAACAGGAUUAGAAACCCCAGUAGU